GACGGGUGAUAAUAGGAAAAUGUCGUGCACUGGGGCGAAACACAAGCGCACAAUGAUCAUGACAAUGGCGGGAAAGUUUGAAUAGCUGCAGUGAGGCAGGCGAGAGUGAACGUAUUUCGCAAACGGGAAUAUUGAACCAGCAAGCAAGUAACAACAACAAUAUCAGUGCAUGCUGAGAGAAGUGACAUGUGUUCUAAAAAUAAAAGAAGACAUCCGACAGAUGUUAUUUUCCUGGUAUUACUGCGUGCGAGACAGGGAAAAGGAUAGAAACUUCAGGAAGCUGAUCUCGGGAAAGAUAGUUUGGUGGUAACCAGGGGAUGAAUGUGAGAGGUGCUUUAGUCUCCGUCUUCAACAGUGGUGAGAUCCUACUUGUUUAACGUACAGUGCUCAAAGGUUUUCCUUUCGGGGCAAGAAUCAUCCAGCAUGGUGUCGAUCGAGUCUUAUACCUCUCAAUGCGUGUAUAACCUGAGCCACAAUUGGAAGUGAGAUAUAGACAUACUUUCGAUCGAGUACAUCACCAUCCAUGCGGCCUGGUCAGCGACCGGAUCAGCGAGGAACGGAGCAGCAGAUGUAAUGAGCACGAAUGCCUGUGAGCAAGCAACCAGGGGACCUACGGCUUAAGGUCCUCUCCGAGGGACCUGGUAAUGAGGAUAAAUGCCCUACCAAAGGGCACUAGUGCACCACUUGGAAAUCGAACCCGGGUCACCGGAAUCCGAAACCCCCGCUCUAUACCGACUGAGCUAUCGCGCCAGAUGAUGAUCAGGAGAUGAUGGCGGGUCAGGUGAUGGAGAGCAGAAUGUUGCUUUGGAAGGCAUCCUGUGGUUAUCUUGUGGUGAGAUGAGAUCCGCAUGCAGUUUUACCAUGAGAAGGAAUAGGAUGUGGACGUGUAUUUCAUCCUAAUGAUGAGACCAUGCCGAUACCAUGAUUGGAAGGUUCACCCGAUGCAGUCUCAUCAUUGUGAGAGGUGAUCAAGGUUCCAGUUGGUGCCGGUCCGCCAGUCCGAGCAGGAGUCCGUGGAACUUCAAAUGACAAGGCCGGAAUAUGCCAGAAGAUGUUAAGGGUUGUUUUGCAACCAUUGUGUUUUAAGAUCUUCUGUGCACCAUAAAAAAAAAGAAAAUAAGGCACUGGGCUGCAAAACAAUGCUGAAAUACUCUUGUAUUCUCAAACGACCACAUCUUGUUAGGGCAAGGACAAAAAUUACUGUCUCAUUUUGUUUUUCCCCCAAUUUCAUCACCGCGCAUAUUAGCUAUAUCAUAAGGCAUUCUUUUGCCAAUCAUAAGUUAUUAGUGAAACACGAUUAUUUUAAAUGAAAGUCGAUGCAGACUAACCUGUAGACACUAGAUAACAUGAUUAUUUGUGCGACUUUUAGCCCAAAAUGGGGUAUUCUGUCCAAAAAGUCCCAUCCGGACUCGGUAGUCCGCGUAGUUAUACUUUAUUCGACUUUAUAUACGUCUCUAUGAACAGUUUUACAUUAUAUGCAACAAAAUUAGAAUGAUUAGUGACGAAAAACGAACAUUUUUUAAGUGAAAUUAGACGCGCAGUGUACUCUGAUUGUAAAACAACCCUUAAAGUAGGAUUCAGUAGAAUAAAAUUGAUCAACCAAAUCACUUCAUCUUCCAUGAAUGCGGCAACUUUUUACUCUUUUUCAUAUUUACCGGUAUUAUUUUCACGGCACUAUUUAAAAAACACUAAAAAAAAGCACGAUAUUACAAAAAACUGUCUAUCUUGUGAAAAUUUGCAUUUUACACAUUACCUGUAUGUCGAUGCUGAUUGAAUUCU
RNAcentral lists this long non-coding RNA (1779 nucleotides) under Lytechinus variegatus (green sea urchin). Its description in RNAcentral is "uncharacterized LOC121410321". Lineage: Eukaryota; Metazoa; Echinodermata; Echinoidea; Temnopleuroida; Toxopneustidae. The record is from RNAcentral.